CGGGUGGUCGUCGAGGUUGAAGUUGCGGGCCUCCCGGGCCUGCGCGGAGGUGACGAUGUUCCAGCCGGCCCGUCCGCC
RNAcentral lists this transfer RNA (78 nucleotides) under Micromonospora sp. MH33. Its description in RNAcentral is "tRNA-Gly". The record is from RNAcentral. Lineage: Bacteria; Bacillati; Actinomycetota; Actinomycetes; Micromonosporales; Micromonosporaceae.